GCUGAAACUGCUCACGAUAUCAAUGAAACGUUUGGUGAGGAAAUGACCAGUGAGUGGUCAGCUUGAAAAUAGGUUAAACAAUUUCGCAAUGGAGACCUGAGCCUUGAAGAUCAUGAGCAUAGCAGACGCCCAUAUGUCAUCGAUGACAAUCAAUUAAAGACUGUCAUUGAAAAAGAUCCAGAUAAAACCACUUGAGAACUGGCAAAAGAACUUCAAGUUAGCCAGAAAACUGCCUGUAACCAUUUGCAUGUGAUCUGAAAAUUUUUAAAAACUCUACAAAUGAUUUGAAUGAAAUUCAGAAAAUGUGCAGAUAUGAAAUUUGCUUGUCACUUCUCCGUAACCAGACCAAUCCAUUUCUCGACUGUAUUGUAAUUUGCGAUGAAAAUUGGAUUCUGUACAAUAAUAAAAAACGUUCUUGGCAGUGGUUGGACCAAAAUUAAGCACUGGAGACCUUCCUUAAAUGCGAGCUCUUCAAAAAGAAGGUUAUGGUGAUUGUUUGGUGAUGUACGGCUGGACACAUCCAUUAUAACUUCCUAAAACCCGGAAAAACCAUUACUGCAGAAACAUAUUGCCAUGAAAUUAACAAAAUGAAUGAAAAACUGCUGCUACUCUGUCCCAGACUGGUCAACAGAAGAGAGCCAAUCGUUCUUCAUGACAAUGCUUGACCAUAUGUUUCACUAAUGACGCUCCAGAGGUUGAAGGAACUUGGCUACGAAUUUAUUCCCUAUCCAGCUUAUUCCACAUACCUUUCUCCUACCGACUACCACUUUUUCAAGCACCUUGAUGGUUUCUUCCAAGAGAAGGAAUUCAAAAUCAAACUGAUGCUGAAAGUGCAUUCAAAGAGUGCAUCAGCUCCGGAACUCCAGAUUUUUCUGUUACCAGAAUAAAUAAACUCGUAACUCGUUGGUAAAACUGUGUUCAUUGUAAUGGUACUUACUUUGAUGAAUAAAAUUUCCGCAUUUUUGAAA
This is a long non-coding RNA of Octopus sinensis (East Asian common octopus), 968 nucleotides long. RefSeq lists it as uncharacterized. The transcript is spliced from 2 exons. The record is from RefSeq and is a predicted model, not a curated record. NCBI's taxonomy places the organism in Eukaryota, Metazoa, Mollusca, Cephalopoda, Octopoda, Octopodidae.